Molecule: ribosomal RNA, 484 nt
Filed under: uncultured Kineococcus sp.
Lineage: Bacteria; Bacillati; Actinomycetota; Actinomycetes; Kineosporiales; Kineosporiaceae
Description: bacterial SSU rRNA
Rfam family: Bacterial small subunit ribosomal RNA
Source: RNAcentral
AGAGUUUGAUCCUGGCUCAGGACGAACGCUGGCGGCGUGCUUAACACAUGCAAGUCGAACGGUGACCCCUCUUCGGAGGGUGAUCAGUGGCGAACGGGUGAGUAACACGUGAGCAACCUGCCCCUGGCUCUGGGACAACCACUGGAAACGGUGGCUAAUACCGGAUACGACCCGCCAUCGCAUGGUGUGUGGGUGGAAAGUUUUUCGGCUGGGGAUGGGCUCGCGGCCUAUCAGCUGGUUGGUGGGGUGAUGGCCUACCAAGGCGACGACGGGUAGCCGGCCUGAGAGGGCGACCGGCCACACUGGGACUGAGACACGGCCCAGACUCCUACGGGAGGCAGCAGUGGGGAAUAUUGCACAAUGGGCGAAAGCCUGAUGCAGCGACGCCGCGUGAGGGAUGACGGCCUUCGGGUUGUAAACCUCUUUCAGCUCCGAAGAAGCGAAAGUGACGGUAGGAGCAGAAGAAGCACCGGCUAACUACGUG